This 497-nucleotide ribosomal RNA is filed under the name uncultured bacterium. Its description in RNAcentral is "partial 16S ribosomal RNA". It matches the Rfam family "Bacterial small subunit ribosomal RNA", at positions 28 to 507 of the family's 1533-position model. The record is from RNAcentral.
GAUGAACGCUUUCUUCUUUCCUAAUACAUGCAAGUCGAGCGAACAGACGAGGAGCUUGCUCCUCUGACGUUAGCGGCGGACGGGUGAGUAACACGUGGAUAACCUACCUAUAAGACUGGGAUAACUUCGGGAAACCGGAGCUAAUACCGGAUAAUAUAUUGAACCGCAUGGUUCAAUAGUGAAAGACGGUUUUGCUGUCACUUAUAGAUGGAUCCGCGCCGCAUUAGCUAGUUGGUAAGGUAACGGCUUACCAAGGCAACGAUGCGUAGCCGACCUGAGAGGGUGAUCGGCCACACUGGAACUGAGACACGGUCCAGACUCCUACGGGAGGCAGCAGUAGGGAAUCUUCCGCAAUGGGCGAAAGCUUGACGGAGCAACGCCGCGUGAGUGAUGAAGGUCUUCGGAUCGUAAAACUCUGUUAUUAGGGAAGAACAAAUGUGUAAGUAACUAUGCACGUCUUGACGGUACCUAAUCAGAAAGCCACGGCUAACUACGUG